UUCUGUCUGAGGGUAAUCGAAAUACGUAAGAUAAGGGAGAGAAUGGCUUUGGAACAUCCUCGUUCCGAGUUAUAACGAAGAAGUUAUGAGAUUUCGAAAUCAGCAUCUCAAGCUUGUAAAAGACUUAGAAAAUUUUUCUAGGUUUCAUGCUUGGUGCCGCAGCGCGAGUCGUGCCUUGGGGGCUGGCACCGUAGCGUGAGCUCG
Molecule: long non-coding RNA, 204 nt
Filed under: Panax ginseng (ginseng)
Lineage: Eukaryota; Viridiplantae; Streptophyta; Magnoliopsida; Apiales; Araliaceae
Description: long non-coding RNA (PGIN_LNC000157)
Source: RNAcentral